Molecule: ribosomal RNA, 1432 nt
Filed under: Lactiplantibacillus pentosus
Lineage: Bacteria; Bacillati; Bacillota; Bacilli; Lactobacillales; Lactobacillaceae
Description: bacterial SSU rRNA
Rfam family: Bacterial small subunit ribosomal RNA
Source: RNAcentral
UGCAGUCGAAGAACUCUGGUAUUGAUUGGUGCUUGCAUCAUGAUUUACAUUUGAGUGAGUGGCGAACUGGUGAGUAACACGUGGGAAACCUGCCCAGAAGCGGGGGAUAACACCUGGAAACAGAUGCUAAUACCGCAUAACAACUUGGACCGCAUGGUCCGAGUUUGAAAGAUGGCUUCGGCUAUCACUUUUGGAUGGUCCCGCGGCGUAUUAGCUAGAUGGUGGGGUAACGGCUCACCAUGGCAAUGAUACGUAGCCGACCUGAGAGGGUAAUCGGCCACAUUGGGACUGAGACACGGCCCAAACUCCUACGGGAGGCAGCAGUAGGGAAUCUUCCACAAUGGACGAAAGUCUGAUGGAGCAACGCCGCGUGAGUGAAGAAGGGUUUCGGCUCGUAAAACUCUGUUGUUAAAGAAGAACAUAUCUGAGAGUAACUGUUCAGGUAUUGACGGUAUUUAACCAGAAAGCCACGGCUAACUACGUGCCAGCAGCCGCGGUAAUACGUAGGUGGCAAGCGUUGUCCGGAUUUAUUGGGCGUAAAGCGAGCGCAGGCGGUUUUUUAAGUCUGAUGUGAAAGCCUUCGGCUCAACCGAAGAAGUGCAUCGGAAACUGGGAAACUUGAGUGCAGAAGAGGACAGUGGAACUCCAUGUGUAGCGGUGAAAUGCGUAGAUAUAUGGAAGAACACCAGUGGCGAAGGCGGCUGUCUGGUCUGUAACUGACGCUGAGGCUCGAAAGUAUGGGUAGCAAACAGGAUUAGAUACCCUGGUAGUCCAUACCGUAAACGAUGAAUGCUAAGUGUUGGAGGGUUUCCGCCCUUCAGUGCUGCAGCUAACGCAUUAAGCAUUCCGCCUGGGGAGUACGGCCGCAAGGCUGAAACUCAAAGGAAUUGACGGGGGCCCGCACAAGCGGUGGAGCAUGUGGUUUAAUUCGAAGCUACGCGAAGAACCUUACCAGGUCUUGACAUACUAUGCAAAUCUAAGAGAUUAGACGUUCCCUUCGGGGACAUGGAUACAGGUGGUGCAUGGUUGUCGUCAGCUCGUGUCGUGAGAUGUUGGGUUAAGUCCCGCAACGAGCGCAACCCUUAUUAUCAGUUGCCAGCAUUAAGUUGGGCACUCUGGUGAGACUGCCGGUGACAAACCGGAGGAAGGUGGGGAUGACGUCAAAUCAUCAUGCCCCUUAUGACCUGGGCUACACACGUGCUACAAUGGAUGGUACAACGAGUUGCGAACUCGCGAGAGUAAGCUAAUCUCUUAAAGCCAUUCUCAGUUCGGAUUGUAGGCUGCAACUCGCCUACAUGAAGUCGGAAUCGCUAGUAAUCGCGGAUCAGCAUGCCGCGGUGAAUACGUUCCCGGGCCUUGUACACACCGCCCGUCACACCAUGAGAGUUGUAACACCCAAAGUCGGUGGGUAACCUUUAGAACCACCGCCUAA